CAGCGUUCUAACUCGGAGCAGUUUCGUAAUGGAGAUCUUGAUGCUCGCCGUCGGGAGACUUUGUUGGGGAAGCGACCUGUUGAUGCACUGUUGGUUCGACCAUUACUGCUGGUUCUUCUUCCGCAUUUGAUGGCUUCGUAUCUGCUGCUCGGCCCUCCAUUGCGCGAACUGGUGAGUUAUUGUUUCUUUUCUCUGCUUAUUUUCUGUCCAUGUUGUUAUCUCUCUUGGCCAGUGCUUCUGCGGCCUUCUACUGGUUGCACGUGCCGCUGCUGGCCCAAUCGGUGUGCAAAAGGCACCAGCGUGUGGGCCCCAGCGCAUGACACGAUAGCAUGCACAGUCAGGCGAUGAAGGGUAUCGACAUAUACUGGAAUGGAAGCACACGGGGGCAUGCAGUGUACGCAUGCACUCGAACGAAAUACAUCGAUGCAUGCAGUGUACGCGUGCAAUCCGAUGAGAAUUCGCUGUCACAUGCAGUGCACGCAUGCAACCCGAUGAAUAUACGCCGCUGCAUGCAGUGGACUCAUGCAACCCGUUGAAUAUACCCCGCCGCAUGCAGUGCACGCAUGCACUUCGAUGAAAAUACCUCGCUGCAUGCAGUGCAUGUAUGCACUUCAGUAAUGCUAACUGAGUACACCACAAUGGACGAAGCUUAUCAUCGCCAGAGAGCGUCCUCCAUAGCAAAGCAAGUUAAGAGAGGAAGGGUAAACAUCCAGCCCUAAAUUUUAAUCAUGGAAGCGGAAGUACCUCGGAUGAGAAUCUUAUAGUGUAUAUUCCAAGACGACCAAUGCUUGAAACAGUGAGUGAAACAAUUGGCCUAAAAGUACAAGGCUACACCUGUCGGUACGUUCAUGAAGGUAUGAUACAAGUGUCUGUACUGAUUGCUCUGCCAUGCCGGAAAGAUAGCUUCAGAGAAUCCUCCAUUACAUAUGAAGGAGAAGCAGCUAAUACAGAAGAUGAAGCAAUGGAAAAGGCAGCUCAGGUGGCCUUCGAAUGCAUCUGUGCAGACUAUAAUAUUUCCACCAAUGAUCAUAAUUACUAUGCUCUUGAAGUCACAAAGGAAAGGUUAUUUACAGCAAGAGAGAAGGCUCAAACAAAGCAAUGGCAGUUCAAUAUGGCCCGCCAGCAAGUAAGCACAUAGCAAAACGAGUUUGCAACACAGACAAUGAUUCUGGCAAAGAUAUGCAAUGGCUUCUUUGAUUUAUUACCACUUCGUAUGUAUCCCCAGCGCCCAGACAACGACGAUCCCAUUAUCACAUAUACAGGCAGGCACCCUCUCGUCGGACGUAUGCAAAAACUUGCAAAAUCACUUUAUCAUUUUAUCACAGGCACCAAUCCUGCAGGAGGAUAUAAUAGGAUGAUCUAAUCCACUAGCAACUACUUCUAGCUUAUCUAUGUAAUGUAUUUGUGUUUUUAUAUACAGUACUCUGUUUGCAG
Molecule: long non-coding RNA, 1434 nt
Organism: Triticum dicoccoides
Lineage: Eukaryota; Viridiplantae; Streptophyta; Magnoliopsida; Poales; Poaceae
Exons: 3
Source: RefSeq, a predicted model, not a curated record